AACCAUAGAAACCUGCGGAGUACCUGCGGAGGGAUCAUUAUAGUAUAUGGAAUCUCCAUUCUAUAAACCCACUCUGCGUAUCUUGUAACUGUUGCUUCCAUGGGACUUGGUUCCGCCACACCGGCUUCACGGCUGGUGAGCGCCCAUGGAAGGAGAAACAAAACUCUUCUUUGAAAUGUAGUCAGUCUGAACAAGUUUUUAUAAACGUUGAAACUUUUAACAAUGGAUCUCAGAUCGGAA
RNAcentral lists this unclassified non-coding RNA (240 nucleotides) under soil metagenome. RNAcentral describes it as "partial contains 5.8S ribosomal RNA, internal transcribed spacer 2, and large subunit ribosomal RNA". The record is from RNAcentral.